CUUUUAAGUGCUUAGCACUUAACUGCGCCUUUGGACACGAGAAAAGCUCGCAAUUCUUAAGUAAAGAAUUUUGUAGGUCCCUGCUCUGCACAGAAAACACACCUGUGCAGAAAACAGCACGACUACAAAAGAUUUAUGUAUGAGCUAGAACUCGAUGCAAAUAAGAGGCCAAAUUUAGAUACCAAACCAAUAUUGCACGAAGAAAAUUAUUAUAUAGGGAUUUUGAAGAGUUAACGUGGUGUGUCAAUAAAGAAGUGAUUUUAUAGCGCACCAAUUUAAAAAUGCGGAAGUGUACGCUCGUUACUUUCAUUCAUACUACAGUCAGUCUCACCACCUCUCUGCCUGAAAUGGGCGUCAAUAUUUUGUGACUUUAAACUAUUCUGCCUUUGUUUUUCGGUGACCCACAUUUCACUGGUCCAAUGUUGCCUGUUUAGCUCAAAUCCCAAGAUCCAGUUACGUGAAGCCUUACCCACCCACUACUUUUAAGUUCGUGCAUAGCUACAAAGUGACGACUCUCGUCCCCGAUACGCGAUUUUCCGCCCAUUCUCACGCACCACAGCCAGCAUGGAGGCCUGGAGGUGCCCCGGCCUCCGGAGCCUUCCUGAAACGCCACAACCAGGAGCCCCAGCAGCGGGCACAUCCAAACCCGGCAGGAGCUGAAGCGAGCUCUCUCAACAACAUGACACCAAGGAGUGAAGCUAACACCCUCCACACUGGGGAUUUUUAGGAAGACUUGAAAGAGCCUCUCCUGCUUUGGCAUCUGAAAAGAGAGAAUGUUGGCAGCUUGCUCUUGCUCUGGAGAAAGUAGCUUCAUCUCUUAAUUUUUAUGUCUUUUACAGUCUCAUGUGCACGGAGUUUAACUUCCUUUCUUGGUGGAAUAGAUUAAGAGCUGUUGAUUAGGCAGAGACUACAUCACAGCUGGUUGAAAAUCCAAGGUUAAGAUUUUCAAAACGUUGAGGAAGAUGAAUAAGCAGCAUACUUCCUUUGUAAUUGUCUGAGCUGCUGGAGCACAGAAUGUAUGUAAUUUGGGCCAUUUAUUCGCAUUCCCAAAUAUGACCUUUUGAGCUAACUUUAGGUACUUCUGAAAAAAAAUCUUGGCCAACUGUCAACAACAUAAUCAACAAGCAGAGAAGCUAGUCCUAAGUAGACCACCCUGAAAUAGUUCUGCUUUUGCUGGCAAUUUAUAUUAUUCCCCCCUGGAUCUCUCCCUUGAGCAGAAUAUCCGGUUGGAUUUAUUGUGGCUUCACCACAAAUAUGGUAGCAAAGUUCCCUCUAAAUUUUCUCAUGAGGAAGAAAUCAGAUACAAAUGAGAAAAUAAGGUGUUAGAGAUAGCAUACAGCUUGUUUAUAACCUUUUUCUUGAAAGAAAACACCUUCCACCAUAUUUAAGCCUUAUUUUUUGGAUUCUUUAUCCUGUGGGAUCAGUAAAUCUGUGCUAGGCAAAGCUAUUAAUAAAGAAUCAAUAACAUAUAUUCUGGCCCUGCA
Molecule: long non-coding RNA, 1484 nt
Filed under: Zonotrichia albicollis (white-throated sparrow)
Lineage: Eukaryota; Metazoa; Chordata; Aves; Passeriformes; Passerellidae
Description: lncRNA (ENSZALG00000005505.1)
Source: RNAcentral